RNAcentral lists this ribosomal RNA (254 nucleotides) under uncultured bacterium. RNAcentral's name for it is "partial 16S ribosomal RNA". It matches the Rfam family "Bacterial small subunit ribosomal RNA", at positions 524 to 776 of the family's 1533-position model. The record is from RNAcentral.
UACGUAGGGGGCUAGCGUUGUCCGGAUUUAUUGGGCGUAAAGAGCUCGUAGGUGGUUCGGUAAGUCGGAUGUGAAAUCUCCAGGCUCAACCUGGAGGGGUCAUUCGAUACUGCCGUGACUAGAGUUCGGUAGAGGAGCGUGGAAUUCCUGGUGGAGCGGUGAAAUGCGCAGAGAUCAGGAGGAACACCGAUGGCGAAGGCAGAUCUCUGGGCCGUAACUGACGCUGAGGAGCGAAAGCGUGGGGAGCGAACAGG